This is a non-coding RNA of Cyanistes caeruleus (blue tit), 805 nucleotides long. Lineage: Eukaryota; Metazoa; Chordata; Aves; Passeriformes; Paridae. The record is from RefSeq and is a predicted model, not a curated record.
CAUGAGUGUUGUGCUGUGUCUCCAUCUCCCCACACUGCCACAGCCAACAAUGCACCUUUUAUACCCAAACCAUUUUGCAGCUUUCUGCCAGGGCGAGGUGGCCUUAGAGUGAGCACGGUACAAUUUGCGUCCCCAGAAAUUAAUUUAUGCACUGCUCAGGUGGUGCCUGGAGGCCUCAGCAUCCAUGGAAAGGAGGAACAGGAAUCAGUUUCCAGUUCUAGGCUGGCCAGCGUGGCCACCAUCCAAACACAGGAGACAGGUCCCAGACAAAAACAGGACACCUGCAGUCCCAGGAGAGAUGCUGAGCCUCCUGCCAGGCACAAAUGGGAAGGAGCUGCUGCCCGGGGCAGCCCAGCCUUUUGUCCCCUUGUCUGUGUGCACUCAUGGCCAUGUGCCAGCCACGCUCUGCACGCAGGCCCAGCACGAUCCACCCACUCUGCUGGCUCCUUCCAUCAGCAUUAUGUCAGUCUGUUCUACACCACCGGAGCCAGUCUGCUCCCACAUCAGAGCCCUGCAGUCAGAAAGUCAAAAAUAUCCUCCCUUCUGUUCCUGCCAGCCUCCAGCCAGGGGACCUCUGCUCGGCUCUGUUUCUAAGCCGUUCUCAUGCCACACUGCCAUGACUUCAUGAGACCUUUCCUCUGCCGGUGUCUCGCGUUGGGCGUGCUCAGGGGAUGGCUCACCCCUGCUGUGGGAUGUGCAUUGCUCCUCACUGUGCCUGGAAAACCUGGGCAUGGCAGGAGAGGAAAUGCCUGGAGGUGUGCUGCUUUCCUGAUGGGUAUGAAUUAAAAGUACAUUAUGAACAGUU